AAGGGACCUAGCGUAGUACGGAAUUACUGGGCUUAAAGAGUUCGUAGGUGGUUGAAAAAGUUGGUGGUGAAAUCCCAGAGCUUAACUCUGGAACUGCCAUCAAAACUUUUCAGCUAGAGUAUGAUAGAGGAAAGCAGAAUUACUAGUGUAGAGGUGAAAUUCGUAGAUAUUAGAAAGAAUACCAAUUGCGAAGGCAGCUUUCUGGAUCAUUACUGACACUGAGGAACAAAAGCAUGGGUAGCGAAGAGGAUUAGAUACCCUCGUAGUCCAUGCCGUAAACGAUGUGUGUUAGACGAUGGAAAUUUAUUUUCAGUGUCGCAGCGAAAGCAAUAGACACACCGCCUGGGGAGUACGACCGCAAGGUUAAAACUCAAAUGAAUUGACGGGGACCCGCACAAGUAGUGGAGCAUGUGGUUUAAUUCGAAGAUACGCGCAGAACCUUACCAACACUUGACAUGUUCGUCGCGACUCUAAGAGAUUAGAGUUUUCGGUUCGGCCGGACGAAACACAGGUGCUGCAUGGCUGUCGUCAGCUCGUGUCGUGAGACGUUGGGUUAAGUCCCGCAACGAGCGCAACCCUCACUUUUAGUUGCCAUCAUUUAGUUGGGCACUCUGAAAGAACUGCCAGUGAUAAGCUGGAGGAAGGUGGGGAUGACGUCAAGUCCUCAUGGCCCUUACGUGUUGGGCUACACACGUGCUACAAUGGCAUCUACAACAGGAAGCAAAACGGCAACGUUAAGCAAAUCCCGAAAAGAUGCCUCAGUUCGGAUCGCACUCUGCAACUCGAGUGCAUGAAGCUGGAAUUACUAGUAAUCGUGGAUCAGCGUGCCACGGUGAAUGCGUUCCCGGGUCUUGUACACACCGCCCGUCACACCAUGGGAGUUGGUUCUACCUUAAGGCAAGGUUUUAAACCCUUGACCACGGUAUAGUCAGCGACUGGGGUGAAGUCGGAACAAGGUAGCCGUAGGGGAACCUGCGGCUGGAUUACCUCCUUUCUAAGGAUGAGUGAAAGAGAAAAAUUUCACUCUAAAUAAUAUACAUCCGUAAUAUUGACCGUCCCCAUUUCUCUUCUUAAAGUAAUGUUUCCUUCUUGUAGGGCCGGUAGCUCAGUUGGUUAGAGCACACCCUUGAUAAGGGUGGGGUCGAAAGUUCGAGUCUUUCUCGGCCCACCAAUAACUCAAUGGGGGAUUAGCUCAUCUGGGAGAGCGCCUGAUUUGCAUUCAGGAGGUAGCAGGUUCGAUCCCUGUAUCCUCCACCAGGAAACAUUUAGUUAUUAAAACUGUAAAUAAAAAUAAUUUAUAUCAAUAUCUAUAUCCGAACAUUAAAAGUUAUUAUUUAAUGUUCAAAAUAAAUAUUUGAUCACAACGCAGAUUAAAUUUCUUUAAAAAGAAUUUUUUUCUGUGCAUAAAUCAAGCGUUUAAGGGCGUGUAGUGGAUGCCUUGGCACUGAAAGCCGAUGAAGGACGUGAUAUGCUGCGAUAAGUUUCGGGGAGCUGUAUGUAAGCUUUGAUCCGAAAAUUU
Molecule: small RNA, 1519 nt
Filed under: uncultured Arctic sea ice bacterium
Lineage: Bacteria
Description: bacterial SSU rRNA
Rfam family: Bacterial small subunit ribosomal RNA (bases 1-994)
Source: RNAcentral